CCUACGGGAGGCAGCAGUGGGGAAUAUUGCGCAAUGGGCGAAAGCCUGACGCAGCGACGCCGCGUGAGGGAUGAAGGUCUUCGGAUCGUAAACCUCUGUCAGCAGGGAAGCACGGUCACUGUGCUAAUCAGCAGUGCAUUGACGGUACCUGCAAAGGAAGCACCGGCUAACUCCGUGCCAGCAGCCGCGGGAAUACGGAGGGUGCGAGCGUUAAUCGGAAUUACUGGGCGUAAAGCGCUCGUAGGCGGUAUGUCAAGUCAAGGGUGAAAUCCCCGCGCUCAACGUGGGAACUGCCUUUGAAACUGGCAAACUGGAGUGUGUGAGAGGAUAGUGGAAUGCCAGGUGUAGGAGUGAAAUCCGUAGAUAUCUGGAGGAACAUCAGUGGCGAAGGCGACUAUCUGGCACAUGACUGACGCUGAGGAGCGAAAGCGUGGGUAGCAAACAGGAUUAGAUACCCGAGUAGUC
RNAcentral lists this ribosomal RNA (465 nucleotides) under uncultured bacterium. Its description in RNAcentral is "partial 16S ribosomal RNA". It matches the Rfam family "Bacterial small subunit ribosomal RNA", at positions 338 to 795 of the family's 1533-position model. The record is from RNAcentral.